RNAcentral lists this microRNA precursor (117 nucleotides) under Fasciola hepatica (liver fluke). Its description in RNAcentral is "microRNA fhe-mir-2f precursor". Its record names the gene fhe-mir-2f. Lineage: Eukaryota; Metazoa; Platyhelminthes; Trematoda; Plagiorchiida; Fasciolidae. The record is from miRBase by way of RNAcentral.
AGGUAUCGAUUCUGGCUGGGAUAGCGAAGAAACGGGUCCACAGCGGAUCAACACGGCUUGGCACCGUUCCCAGCGCGGUUUGCCACCGUCUUACCUGUCACAGCCAAUAUUGAUGCC